GCAAACUUGGUCAUUUAGAGGAAGUAAAAGUCGUAACAAGGUUUCCGUAGGUGAACCUGCGGAAGGAUCAUUAACGCAUCUCUGGCGGCGAUUGGGCGCGCCCUGCUCCGGACCGAAAGGCCGUGCAGCGGGCCGUCCCGUCCCGCCGAACCUUUGCAAACCCACUUGUGCACUUUUGUCGGCGAAAGGGCCCCAGUGGCCCCGAGCCGGAUCACAAACACUUUUGUUAAACGAAUGCAAGCGGACUUUGAGCCGCCUAAACUUUAACAACUUUCAACAACGGAUCUCUUGGCUCUCGCAUCGAUGAAGAACGCAGC
RNAcentral lists this unclassified non-coding RNA (317 nucleotides) under uncultured fungus. Its description in RNAcentral is "partial contains small subunit ribosomal RNA, internal transcribed spacer 1, and 5.8S ribosomal RNA". The stretch from base 1 to 73 matches the Rfam family "Eukaryotic small subunit ribosomal RNA", at positions 1759 to 1831 of the family's 1831-position model. The record is from RNAcentral. Lineage: Eukaryota; Fungi.